GACGAACGCUGGCGGCGUGCCUAAUACAUGCAAGUCGAACGAACCGCGACUAAGUGCUUGCACUAAGUCAAGGUGAGUGGCGAACGGGUGAGUAACACGUGGGUAACCUACCUCAUAGUGGGGGAUAACAGUCGGAAACGACUGCUAAUACCGCAUAGGACAUAGGAUCACAUGAUCCAGUGAGGAAAGGUGGCGCAAGCUAUCGCUAAGAGAUGGACCCGCGGUGCAUUAGCUAGUUGGUAGGGUAAAGGCCUACCAAGGCGAUGAUGCAUAGCCGACCUGAGAGGGUGAUCGGCCACAUUGGGACUGAGACACGGCCCAAACUCCUACGGGAGGCAGCAGUAGGGAAUCUUCCGCAAUGGACGCAAGUCUGACGGAGCAACGCCGCGUGGGUGAAGAAGGUCUUCGGAUCGUAAAGCUCUGUUGUUAGAGAAGAACAGCGCAUAGAGUAACUGCUAUGCGUGUGACGGUAUCUAACCAGAAAGCCACGGCUAACUACGUG
RNAcentral lists this ribosomal RNA (502 nucleotides) under uncultured bacterium. RNAcentral describes it as "partial 16S ribosomal RNA". It matches the Rfam family "Bacterial small subunit ribosomal RNA", at positions 28 to 507 of the family's 1533-position model. The record is from RNAcentral.